RNAcentral lists this ribosomal RNA (260 nucleotides) under Rhizobiales bacterium OR168. RNAcentral's name for it is "partial 16S ribosomal RNA". It matches the Rfam family "Bacterial small subunit ribosomal RNA", at positions 46 to 334 of the family's 1533-position model. Lineage: Bacteria; Pseudomonadati; Pseudomonadota; Alphaproteobacteria; Hyphomicrobiales. The record is from RNAcentral.
AGGCUUAACACAUGCAAGUCGAACGCCCCGCAAGGGGAGUGGCAGACGGGUGAGUAACGCGUGGGAAUCUACCCUUUACUACGGAAUAACGCAUGGAAACGUGUGCUAAUACCGUAUGUGUCCUUCGGGAGAAAGAUUUAUCGGUAAAGGAUGAGCCCGCGUUGGAUUAGCUAGUUGGUGGGGUAAAGGCCUACCAAGGCGACGAUCCAUAGCUGGUCUGAGAGGAUGAUCAGCCACAUUGGGACUGAGACACGGCCCAA